UUGACCUCGGAUCAGGUAGGGAUACCCGCUGAACUUAAGCAUAUCAAUAAGCGGAGGAAAAGAAACCAACAGGGAUUGCCCCAGUAACGGCGAGUGAAGCGGCAAGAGCUCAAAUUUGAAAGCUGGCUCCUUCGGGGUCCGCAUUGUAAUUUGCAGAGGAUGCUUCGGGAGCGGUCCCCAUCUAAGUGCCCUGGAACGGGACGUCAUAGAGGGUGAGAAUCCCGUAUGGGAUGGGGUGUCCGCGCCCGUGUGAAGCUCCUUCGACGAGUCGAGUUGUUUGGGAAUGCAGCUCUAAAUGGGUGGUAAAUUUCAUCUAAAGCUAAAUAUUGGCCGGAGACCGAUAGCGCACAAGUAGAGUGAUCGAAAGAUGAAAAGCACUUUGAAAAGAGAGUUAAAAAGCACGUGAAAUUGUUGAAAGGGAAGCGCUUGCGACCAGACUCGCUCGCGGGGUUCAGCCGGCAUUCGUGCCGGUGUAUUUCCCCGCGGGCGGGCCAGCGUCGGUUUGGGCGGUCGGUCAAAGGCCCUCGGAAGGUAACGCCCCCAGGGGCGUCUUAUAGCCGAGGGUGCAAUGCGACCUGCCUAGACCGAGGAACGCGCUUCGGCUCGGACGCUGGCAUAAUGGUCGUAAGCGA
Molecule: ribosomal RNA, 632 nt
Filed under: Penicillium gladioli
Lineage: Eukaryota; Fungi; Ascomycota; Eurotiomycetes; Eurotiales; Aspergillaceae
Description: eukaryotic LSU rRNA
Rfam family: Eukaryotic large subunit ribosomal RNA
Source: RNAcentral